Molecule: ribosomal RNA, 1448 nt
Filed under: uncultured bacterium
Lineage: Bacteria
Description: 16S ribosomal RNA
Rfam family: Bacterial small subunit ribosomal RNA
Source: RNAcentral
AGAGUUUGAUCCUGGCUCAGGGUUAACGCUGGCGGUGUGUAUAAUACAUGCAAGUCGAGCGAGAUUUUUAUUCUAGCUUGCUAGAAUAAAAAUGAAAGCGGCGAACGGGUGAGGAACACGUUGGUAUCUACCCCAGACUCAGGGAUAACGUAUAGAAAUAUACGCUAAUACCGGAUGGUCUCGUAAGAGUAAAGCUUUUGCGGUCUGGGAGGAGCCUGCGGCUUAUCAGCUAGUUGGUGAGGUAAUAGCUCACCAAGGCUAUGACGAGUAACUGGUCUGAGAGGAUGACCAGUCACAAUGGGACUGAGACACGGCCCAUACUCCUACGGGAGGCAGCAGUAAAGAAUCUUCCACAAUGGGCGAAAGCCUGAUGGAGCGACACCGCGUGGUCGAUGAAGGUCGUAAGAUCGUAAAGACCUUUUCUGAGGGAAGAAUUAUGACGGUACCUCAGGAAUAAGCACCGGCUAACUCCGUGCCAGCAGCCGCGGUAAUACGGAGGGUGCAAGCGUUACCCGGAAUCAUUGGGCGUAAAGCGUCCGCAGGCGGUUUAUUAAGUUAAAUAUUAAACCUUGAAGCCCAACUUCAAGUGUGUAUUUAAAACUGAUAGACUAGAGUUUUUUAGGGGCAUGUAGAAUUCUGUGUGUAGGGGUAAAAUCCGUAGAUAUACAGAGGAAUACCAAAAGCGAAGGCAGCAUGCUGGAAAAAUACUGACGCUCAUGGACGAAAGCGUGGGGAGCAAACAGGAUUAGAUACCCUGGUAGUCCACGCUGUAAACUUUGGAUACUAGGUGUUGGAGGGUCUCGACCCCUUCAGUGCCGUCGCUAACGCUUUAAGUAUCCCGCCUGGGAAGUACGGUCGCAAGAUUAAAACUCAAAGGAAUAGACGGGGACCCACACAAGCAGUGGAGCAUCUGGCUUAAUUCGAUAUUACGCGAGGAACCUUACCUGGACUUGACAUCCCGAGAAUUUUCUAGAAAUAGAGAAGUGCCUUACGGAACUCGGUGACAGGUGCUGCAUGGUUGUCGUCAGCUCGUGCCUUGAGGUGUUCGGUUAAGUCCGUAAACGAGCGCAACCCAUGUCCUGUGUUGUAUUUUCACAGGAGACUGCCGAUUCAAAGUCGGAGGAAGGUAUGGAUGACGUCAAAUCAGCAUGGCCCUUAUGUCCAGGGCUGCACAGGUGCUACAAUGGUCGGUACAACGGGGAGCAAUAUCGUAAGAUGGAGCCAAUCCUUAAAGCCGAUCUAAGUUCGGAUUGAGGGCUGCAACCUGCCCUCAUGAAGUUGGAAUUGCUAGUAAACGUGCAUCAGCAAUGGCGCGUUGAAUAUGUUCCUGGGUCUUGUACUCACCGCCCGUCACACUAUGGAAGGUGGGAGCACCCGAAGUACUCUUAGCUUUUAGCGGGGUCCUAAGGUGAAACCACUGACUGGAGUGAAGUCGUAACAAGGUAACC